CCUACGGGAGGCAGCAGUGAGGAAUAUUGGUCAAUGGACGCGAGUCUGAACCAGCCAAGUAGCGUGAAGGAUGACUGCCCUCUGGGUUGUAACCUUCUUUUUUAAAGGAAUAAAACGAGGCACGUGUGCCUUUUUGCAUGUGCUUUAUUAAUAGCGAUCGGCUAACUCCGUGCCAGCAGCCGCGGUAAUACGGAGGAUCCGAGAGUUAUCCGGAUUUAUUGGGUUUAAAGGGAGCGUAGAUGGGUUUUUAGGUCAGUUGUGAAAGUUUGCGGCUCAACCGUAAAAUUGCAUUUGAUACUGGCAGUCUUGAGUACAGUUGAGGUAAGCGGAAUUCGUGGUGUAGCGGUGAAAUGCUUAGAUAUCACGAAGAACCCCGAUUGCGAAGGCAGCUUACUAAACUGUGACUGACAUUGAUGCUCGAAAGUGUGGGUAUCAAACAGGAUUAGAUACCCCGGUAGUC
RNAcentral lists this ribosomal RNA (460 nucleotides) under uncultured bacterium. Its description in RNAcentral is "partial 16S ribosomal RNA". It matches the Rfam family "Bacterial small subunit ribosomal RNA", at positions 338 to 795 of the family's 1533-position model. The record is from RNAcentral.